GCUACCUAACCUAGCGGCGGACGGGUGAGUAAUGCUUAGGAAUCUGCCUAUUAGUGGGGGACAACAUUCCGAAAGGAAUGCUAAUACCGCAUACGCCCUACGGGGGAAAGCAGGGGAUCUUUGGACCUUGCGCUAAUAGAUGAGCCUAAGUCAGAUUAGCUAGUUGGUGGGGUAAAGGCCUACCAAGGCGACGAUCUGUAGCGGGUCUGAGAGGAUGAUCCGCCACACUGGGACUGAGACACGGCCCAGACUCCUACGGGAGGCAGCAGUGGGGAAUAUUGGACAAUGGGCGCAAGCCUGAUCCAGCCAUGCCGCGUGUGUGAAGAAGGCCUUUUGGUUGUAAAGCACUUUAAGCGAGGAGGAGGCUACUUGGAUUAAUACUCUAGGAUAGUGGACGUUACUCGCAGAAUAAGCACCGGCUAACUCUGUGCCAGCAGCCGCGGUAAUACAGAGGGUGCGAGCGUUAAUCGGAUUUACUGGGCGUAAAGCGUGCGUAGGCGGCUUUUUAAGUCGGAUGUGAAAUCCCUGAGCUUAACUUAGGAAUUGCAUUCGAUACUGGGAAGCUAGAGUAUGGGAGAGGAUGGUAGAAUUCCAGGUGUAGCGGUGAAAUGCGUAGAGAUCUGGAGGAAUACCGAUGGCGAAGGCAGCCAUCUGGCCUAAUACUGACGCUGAGGUACGAAAGCAUGGGGAGCAAACAGGAUUAGAUACCCUGGUAGUCCAUGCCGUAAACGAUGUCUACUAGCCGUUGGGGCCUUUGAGGCUUUAGUGGCGCAGCUAACGCGAUAAGUAGACCGCCUGGGGAGUACGGUCGCAAGACUAAAACUCAAAUGAAUUGACGGGGGCCCGCACA
Molecule: ribosomal RNA, 850 nt
Filed under: bacterium RI16
Lineage: Bacteria
Description: bacterial SSU rRNA
Rfam family: Bacterial small subunit ribosomal RNA
Source: RNAcentral